This 253-nucleotide ribosomal RNA is filed under the name uncultured bacterium. RNAcentral describes it as "partial 16S ribosomal RNA". It matches the Rfam family "Bacterial small subunit ribosomal RNA", at positions 524 to 776 of the family's 1533-position model. The record is from RNAcentral.
UACGAAGGGGGCUAGCGUUGUUCGGAAUUAAUGGGAGUAAAGGGUGCGUAGGCGGCUUUUAAAGUAAGGGGUGAAAGCCCAGAGCUCAACUCUGGAAUUGCCUUUGAGACUGAGUGGCUUGAGUACGAGAGAGGUGAGUGGAAUUCCCAGUGUAGAGGUGAAAUUCGUAGAUAUUGGGAAGAACACCGGUGGCGAAGGCGGCUCACUGGCUCGUAACUGACGCUCAUGCACGACAGCGUGGGGAUCAAACAGG